GACGAACGCUGGCGGCGUGCUUAACGCAUGCAAGUCGAACGGAAAGGCCCUGCUUUUGUGGGGUGCUCGAGUGGCGAACGGGUGAGUAACACGUGAGUAACCUGCCCUUGACUUUGGGAUAACUUCAGGAAACUGGGGCUAAUACCGGAUAGGAGCUCCUGCUGCAUGGUGGGGGUUGGAAAGUUUCGGCGGUUGGGGAUGGACUCGCGGCUUAUCAGCUUGUUGGUGGGGUAGUGGCUUACCAAGGCUUUGACGGGUAGCCGGCCUGAGAGGGUGACCGGCAACAUUGGGACUGAGAUAAGGCACAGACUCCUACGGGAGGCAGCAGGGGGGAAUAUUGCACAAUGGGCGGAAGCUGGAGGCAGCAACGCCGCGUGCGGGAUGACGGACUUAGGGUUGUAAACCGCUUUCGCCUGUGACGAAGCGUGAGUGACGGUAAUGGGUAAAGAAGCACCGGCUAACUACGUG
This 468-nucleotide ribosomal RNA is filed under the name uncultured bacterium. RNAcentral's name for it is "partial 16S ribosomal RNA". It matches the Rfam family "Bacterial small subunit ribosomal RNA", at positions 28 to 507 of the family's 1533-position model. The record is from RNAcentral.